This 77-nucleotide microRNA precursor is filed under the name Myotis davidii. RNAcentral's name for it is "mir-9229 microRNA precursor family". It matches the Rfam family "mir-9229 microRNA precursor family". Lineage: Eukaryota; Metazoa; Chordata; Mammalia; Chiroptera; Vespertilionidae. The record is from Rfam by way of RNAcentral.
GAGACACCCUUAUGGGGCAGGACUUGAUUCAGUGGGAGCUUUGGUGGUCACUGAGUCUGCUUCUUGAGUGUGUCCCU